Molecule: ribosomal RNA, 253 nt
Filed under: uncultured bacterium
Lineage: Bacteria
Description: partial 16S ribosomal RNA
Rfam family: Bacterial small subunit ribosomal RNA
Source: RNAcentral
UACGGAGGGUGCAAGCGUUAAUCGGAAUUACUGGGCGUAAAGCGUGCGCAGGCGGUUUGUUAAGUCCGCUGUGAAAUCCCCGGGCUUAACCUGGGAACUGCAUUUGUGACUGGCAAGCUAGAGUAUGGCAGAGGGGGGUAGAAUUCCACGUGUAGCAGUGAAAUGCGUAGAGAUGUGGAGGAAUACCGAUGGCGAAGGCAGCCCCCUGGGCCAAUACUGACGCUCAUGCACGAAAGCGUGGGGAGCAAACAGG